AGAGUUUGAUCCUGGCUCAGGAUGAACGCUGGCGGCGUGCUUAACACAUGCAAGUCGAACGAACCUUCGGGUUAGUGGCGGACGGGUGAGUAACGCGUGAGAAUCUGCCCUCAGGAGGGGGACAACAGCUGGAAACGGCUGCUAAUACCCCAUAUGCCGCGAGGUGAAAUGAAUUUCGCCUGAGGAUGAGCUCGCGUCUGAUUAGCUAGUUGGUGUAGGUAAUGGCUCACCAAGGCAUCGAUCAGUAGCUGGUCUGAGAGGAUGAUCAGCCACACUGGGACUGAGACACGGCCCAGACUCCUACGGGAGGCAGCAGUGGGGAAUUUUCCGCAAUGGGCGAAAGCCUGACGGAGCAACGCCGCGUGAGGGAUGAAGGCCUCUGGGCUGUAAACCUCUUUUAUCAAGGAAGAAGAUCUGACGGUACUUGAUGAAUAAGCCACGGCUAAUUCCGUGCCAGCAGCCGCGGUAAUACGGGAGUGGCAAGCGUUAUCCGGAAUUAUUGGGCGUAAAGCGUCCGCAGGCGGCCCUUCAAGUCUGCUGUUAAAAAGUGGAGCUUAACUCCAUCAUGGCAGUGGAAACUGUUGGGCUUGAGUGUGGUAGGGGCAGAGGGAAUUCCCGGUGUAGCGGUGAAAUGCGUAGAUAUCGGGAAGAACACCAGUGGCGAAGGCGCUCUGCUGGGCCAUCACUGACGCUCAUGGACGAAAGCCAGGGGAGCGAAAGGGAUUAGAUACCCCUGUAGUCCUGGCCGUAAACGAUGAACACUAGGUGUCGGGGGAAUCGACCCCCUCGGUGUCGUAGCCAACGCGUUAAGUGUUCCGCCUGGGGAGUACGCACGCAAGUGUGAAACUCAAAGGAAUUGACGGGGGCCCGCACAAGCGGUGGAGUAUGUGGUUUAAUUCGAUGCAACGCGAAGAACCUUACCAGGGUUUGACAUCCUGCGAAUCUCUUGGAAACAGGAGAGUGCCUUCGGGAACGCAGUGACAGGUGGUGCAUGGCUGUCGUCAGCUCGUGUCGUGAGACGUUGGGUUAAGUCCCGCAACGAGCGCAACCCACGUCUUUAGUUGCCAGCAUUUAGUUGGGCACUCUAGAGAGACUGCCGGUGAUAAACCGGAGGAAGGUGUGGAUGACGUCAAGUCAUCAUGCCCCUUACAUCCUGGGCUACACACGUACUACAAUGCUACGGACAAAGGGCAGCAAGUUCGCGAGGACAAGCAAAUCCCAUAAACCGUGGCUCAGUUCAGAUCGUAGGCUGCAACUCGCCUACGUGAAGGCGGAAUCGCUAGUAAUCGCAGGUCAGCAUACUGCGGUGAAUACGUUCCCGGGCCUUGUACACACCGCCCGUCACACCAUGGAAGUUGGCCACGCCCGAAGCCGUUACUCCAACCCUUGUGGAGGAGGACGUCGAAGGUGGGGCUGAUGACUGGGGUGAAGUCGUAACAAGGUAACC
This 1447-nucleotide ribosomal RNA is filed under the name uncultured bacterium. RNAcentral describes it as "bacterial SSU rRNA". It matches the Rfam family "Bacterial small subunit ribosomal RNA". The record is from RNAcentral.